RNAcentral lists this ribosomal RNA (817 nucleotides) under Clostridioides difficile. Its description in RNAcentral is "partial 23S ribosomal RNA". It matches the Rfam family "Bacterial large subunit ribosomal RNA", at positions 1918 to 2733 of the family's 2925-position model. The record is from RNAcentral. Lineage: Bacteria; Bacillati; Bacillota; Clostridia; Peptostreptococcales; Peptostreptococcaceae.
CCCCAGUAAACGGCGGCCGUAACUAUAACGGUCCUAAGGUAGCGAAAUUCCUUGUCGGGUAAGUUCCGACCCGCACGAAAGGCGUAACGAUUUGGGCACUGUCUCAACAACAGACUCGGUGAAAUUGUAAUUCCGGUGAAGAUGCCGGAUACCUGCGACAGGACGGAAAGACCCCAUGGAGCUUUACUGUAGCUUGACAUUGGGUCUUGGUACUACAUGUACAGGAUAGGUGGGAGGCUUUGAAACCAGGACGCCAGUUUUGGCGGAGCCAUCCUUGGGAUACCACCCUUGUAGUACUGGGACUCUAACCAUAGGCCAUGAAUCUGGUCUUGGGACACUGUCAGGUGGGCAGUUUGACUGGGGCGGUCGCCUCCCAAAAGGUAACGGAGGCGCUCAAAGGUUCUCUCAGUACGGUCGGAAAUCGUACGUAGAGUGUAAAGGCAAAAGAGAGCUUGAUUGCAAGACAUACAGGUCGAGCAAGGAUGAAAAUCGGACUUAGUGAUCCGGUGGUUCUGCGUGGAAGGGCCAUCGCUCAACGGAUAAAAGCUACCCUGGGGAUAACAGGCUUAUCUCCCCCAAGAGUCCACAUCGACGGGGAGGUUUGGCACCUCGAUGUCGGCUCAUCACAUCCUGGGGCUGUAGUAGGUCCCAAGGGUUGGGCUGUUCGCCCAUUAAAGUGGUACGCGAGCUGGGUUCAGAACGUCGUGAGACAGUUCGGUCCCUAUCCGUCGCAGGCGUAGGAAAUUUGAGAAGACCUGUCCUUAGUACGAGAGGACCGGGAUGGACGUACCUCUGGUGUACCAGUUGUCCUGCCAAG